Molecule: ribosomal RNA, 253 nt
Filed under: uncultured bacterium
Lineage: Bacteria
Description: partial 16S ribosomal RNA
Rfam family: Bacterial small subunit ribosomal RNA
Source: RNAcentral
UACGGAGGGUGCGAGCGUUAUUCGGAAUUAUUGGGCGUAAAGGGCGCGUAGGCGGUUUAGUAAGUCAGAUGUGAAAGCCCUGGGCUUAACCCUGGAAGAGCAUUUGAUACUACUGGACUUGAGUAUGGGAGAGGGAAGCGGAAUUCCUGGUGUAGCGGUGAAAUGCGUAGAUAUCAGGAGGAACACCGGUGGCGAAGGCGGCUUCCUGGACCAAUACUGACGCUGAGGCGCGAAGGCGUGGGGAGCAAACAGG